This 256-nucleotide ribosomal RNA is filed under the name uncultured bacterium. RNAcentral describes it as "partial 16S ribosomal RNA". It matches the Rfam family "Bacterial small subunit ribosomal RNA", at positions 524 to 776 of the family's 1533-position model. The record is from RNAcentral.
UACAGAGACCUCAAGCGUUAUCCGGAAUCAUUGGGCGUAAAGCGUGCCGAUAGGUGGUUUGGUUAGUCUUGGGUGAAAUCCCGAAGCUCAACUUCGGGUUUGCUUAAGAUACUGCCAGACUAGAGGGGCAAAGAGGAGACUGGAACGAACGGUGUAGUAGUGAAAUGCGUUGAUAUCGUUCGGAACACCGAAAGCGAAGGCAGGUCUCUGGGUGCCUCCUGACACUGCUAGGACGAGAGCGUGGGUAGCGAAUGGG